UGUGAUUAAUUAUGUGUGCUCUAAGCUAAAACUCUCAUUUUACAUUUUUCUGUACUACAGAAUAAUACUGAAAGGCAAGACAAAUAGCUGAAAAAUACCUAAGACUUGGGAAAGACUUGAUCCCACAAUAAAUAACUACUGGGCAUUGCUAUGUUUUAAGCACUAGGAAUUAAAGAAGAUUUUUUUAAAAGCCAAUACUUAUUGAACAUAUAUAAGCAUCACACAUUGCUAUUAAUUCUUUAUGAACAUUUGCUAAUUGAUUGUUAAAAAUGACAUUUGAGAUGAUCGUUUUUAUCCUUAUUUUGCAGAUAAGGAAUUUGAGACCCAGAGAGUUUAAAUUCCCUCAGUAAAGCUCACAGUUAGCAAGUGAUAGAGCUGGGAUUCAUAUCCAUACUUUUCAAAAUCUAAAGCCCAUAUGUAUAACCACCAAACUAUUCAACCAUAUUAUGUUAUGGAUUUAAAAGAACAACAACAGUACUUUCUCACAAGCAAUUUUAUUUUAGAUGUCAUAAAUUACUUGCCUGAGUACAGGAUAAUAGAAUGCUCUGUGGUUAAGACUAGAGUUUAGUCUUAUACCAAAGUCUGUGUUCCUUUAACUGUUCUAUGCUCCUCUCGGCUUACAACCAAGUAAUCACAGAUUUAGAAGGGGCUUACAGGACUGACUGAUGCAGUUUCUUCCCUGGGUAUGGCAUCUGAUAGACAGCAUCCUUCUGACCCAUACUAAUCACACUGUCCACUGUCAACUUUUAUCUUAGGCAAUUUUAUUCCUCCUUUGUUGUGUUCCAUUUAGUUUCCUCCAUCAUAUAUUAUCUUUAACAAAU
Molecule: long non-coding RNA, 821 nt
Filed under: Homo sapiens (human)
Lineage: Eukaryota; Metazoa; Chordata; Mammalia; Primates; Hominidae
Description: non-protein coding lnc-BORA-30:1
Source: RNAcentral